CGGCAUUUCCUCUUUUCUCGCGGUGCAUUGUGGGUAACGAGGCAAAGUCUCGCCUGUAUUUCACAAUGCAUUGUGGGUACCGAGGCAUUUCAUUGAAAACCAGGAAGUCACUUCCUCUCCUCGCGAUGGAUUGUGGGUAACGAGGCGGAAGCAACUACAAUUCCCGCAUUGCAUUGUGGGUACCGAGGCACUCCCUAAAUUAUACACCUGCGACAGGUGCGCGGCCACGCCCGAACCAGUUCCAAACCAGUAUAAACCAGUUCAAACCAGUCCGGGAGCGCAGCCAUNNNNNNNNNNNNNNNNNNNNUGGCGGCGGUGGUGCUGGCGGUGGCGCUCGGGGCGGUUUUGGUGGCCCUCGGGGGAGUUUUGGUGGCCGCGCUGGCCCGGAGGGGCCCGGACGGGCCGAGGUUGGCGGUGCCGGGACGGGCGGUGGCGCACAGGGGAGGUGCGGGGGAGAAGAUCGAGAACACCAUGGAGGCCUUUGAGAAGUGAGACCACGCCCCUUUCCCUGACCACGCCCUCUUUUAGUUCCUCUCUUUAAACCUUUCUAAAGAGACCACGCCCCUUUUUGAGACCUUCUUAAAGGGCCAGCAACACAUUUAUUUUAAAGCCACGCCCAUUUUUAAUUAGUCCCCACCCCCUUUUAUUUGCUCCUCCCAUUUUUUACAGGGCCGACAGGACCCUGUCCUGUGGCUCCGCCCCCACCGCCAGUACCGAGGCAUCUCAUUGGUUAAAUAUCCUAACCCCGCCCCUUUUUCUGUGGCCACGCCCCUUCUGCUACGUUUGAGGAUUCUAUUGGUUCUAAACCUUAACCCCGCCCCUUUUUCUUGCGGCCACGCCCCCUCUACCAGUACCAAGUUCUCUAAUUGCCUCUAGAUCUUAGCCCCGCCCCCUUUUCUUUGGCCACGCCCCCUCCACCAGCACCCAGGACUCCUAUAGGCUCUAUACCCUAACUCCGCCCCCUUUUAUCGUGACCACGCCCCCUCCACCCCUACUAAGGUCUCUGAUUGUCGCUAUAUCUUAACUCCGCCCCAUUUUCUGUGGCCACGCCCCCUUCUGCCUUCUUUGAGGAUUUUUAUUGGCUCUAAAUCUUAACCCCGCCCCUUUUUAUAGUGGCCACGCCCCCUAAACCAGCACCAAGGCCUCUUAUAGNNNNNNNNNNNNNNNNNNNNCCCCGCCCCCUUUCCUUGUGGCCACGCCCCCUCCACCAGCAUCAAGACUUCCUAUAGGCUCUAUAUCUUAACCCCGCCCCCUUUUGUGUUGGCCCCGCCCCCAGCGCGGUCUCGCAGGGCUGCGAUUGGCUGGAGCUGGACGUGCGCCGCACCCGCGAUGGCGUCGUCGUCGUCUGUCACGACCGGGAGCUGUCGCGACAGAGCGGCCGCCAUCUUGAAAUCAGCCAGACCGAUUACAAGGUCAGUUAAUUAGCGAUUAAUUAGUGCUAAUUAACGGGGAUUAAGGGAUUGGGGUAAUUAGGGGUUAAUUAAGGGGUAAUGGGUAAUUGGGGCGGGAAUUAAUAGGGAUGUGGGGUUAAUUAGGGAGAGUUAAUUAGUGGUGAUUGAUGGAUGUUGGUCGUAAUUAGUCAUAAUCAUGUGUUAAUUAAUGUUAAUAAAUAUUAAUUGGUGAUACUUUAUGGUAAUUAG
This 1640-nucleotide long non-coding RNA is filed under the name Serinus canaria (Common canary). RNAcentral describes it as "lncRNA (ENSSCAG00000015731.1)". The record is from RNAcentral. Lineage: Eukaryota; Metazoa; Chordata; Aves; Passeriformes; Fringillidae.